Molecule: ribosomal RNA, 253 nt
Filed under: uncultured bacterium
Lineage: Bacteria
Description: partial 16S ribosomal RNA
Rfam family: Bacterial small subunit ribosomal RNA
Source: RNAcentral
UACGUAGGGGGCAAGCGUUGUCCGGAAUCAUUGGGCGUAAAGAGCGCGUAGGCGGUCCGGUAAGUCCGCUCUGAAAGUCCGGGGCUCAACCCCGGGAGGCGGGCGGAUACUGUCGGGCUAGAGUCCGGAAGAGGCGAGUGGAAUUCCUGGUGUAGCGGUGAAAUGCGCAGAUAUCAGGAGGAACACCAAUGGCGAAGGCAGGUCUCUGGGCUGACACUGACGCUCAUGCACGAAAGCGUGGGGAGCAAACAGG